RNAcentral lists this long non-coding RNA (963 nucleotides) under Mustela putorius furo (domestic ferret). RNAcentral's name for it is "lncRNA (ENSMPUG00000024631.1)". The record is from RNAcentral. Lineage: Eukaryota; Metazoa; Chordata; Mammalia; Carnivora; Mustelidae.
CUUGAGCCGAAGGCAGGCGCUUAACCAACUGAGCCACCCAGGAGCCCCUCUCUUCCACGUUAAGCAACGUGAAUGACAGGACAUGAAAAGAAACUGAAAAUAUUGGAAAAUCACAGUGUCUCCUCUCAGAUGUCACCAUCACCCUUGUCUUACCGCCACAGCUUGAAUUUAAGUCAUGUCACACGAACGCAAUGAUCAGCGUGUCCUGUUCCUCCAAAAGUUCAACAGAGUUCCCAUGUGGCCCAGCACGUGCUAUGAUGUGGAUGAACAUUUUAGAUAAUUGCCGAGGGAAAGAAGCCAGACACAAAAGGCCCCAAACAGUAAUUCAUGCUUCAGCAGGGCCGAAACAGUCUUGGAAAAGAACAGAGUCAGAGGAGUCACACUUCCUGAUUUGAACUUACUACAAAGCUGCGGUGGCAUUCUGCGUCAAGACUAUGUGGUUCCAUCAAUGGAUUGGACUUGACAGUCCAGAAAUAAGCCCAUAUAUUUAUGGGUAAGUGAUUUUCAGUGAAGGUGUCAGGACAAAUCAAUGAGGAAAUAAUAAUCUUUCAACAAAUGAUGCUGGGACAACUGGAUGUCUAACAUGCAAAAGAAUGAAUUUACACCCCUUGACUAAAAUUAAGUCAAAAUGAUCAAAGACCUAAUGUAAGAGACUAUAAAACUGGCAGAAGAAAACAUACGGGUUAGUCUCUUUGAACUUGGAGGAGAUGCUUUCUUAGAUACGACAGCUAAAGCACAAUCAAUCAAUCAAUCAAUCAAAUUGGAUAUCAUCGAAAUUAAAAACUUUUGGGGCACCUGGGUGGCUCAGUGGGUGAGGGUCCUGGAAUGGAUGGAGCCCUGCAUUUGGCUCCCUGCUCAGAGGGGAGUCUGCUUCUCCCUCUGCCCUUCCCCCCAACUCAUGCUCUCUCUCAAACAAAUAAAUAAAAUCUUUUUAAAAAAAUUUAAAACUUUUGUGCUUCAAGG